Molecule: long non-coding RNA, 473 nt
Organism: Symphalangus syndactylus (siamang)
Lineage: Eukaryota; Metazoa; Chordata; Mammalia; Primates; Hylobatidae
Source: RefSeq, a predicted model, not a curated record
AGUUUGUACCUUUCUGGCUGGAACUUCCUCACAAACACAUCCAUGGAGAUCUUCACCAUGUCCUUUCUACAGGAGCACUGUCCGCAGGAACCAGAAGAGCACCAUGAAGAAAUCAAGCAGACUUACCAGCACAGCUUGCUUGCCAUACUCAAUCCACCGACGGGUAGCAAAAUUGGUAGACUCCGCACAGUUAAAACCAUGGUUAAAGCCGGCAUGGUAACCAUAAGGGAAAGUGAUCAUAAACUCUCCAGCCUCUUGAGUCACCUGAACAAGAGCAGACUUGAAGCAGCUGCUUCAAAUGGCAGAAGUCCACAGAACUGGAAUUCUGAGCUCCACCACAACUUAGCUGAGUAACAAAGGAUUAUUCCACAGUAACAACAAAUCCUCCCACUGCAAACAGCUUCAUUAUAAAACAAAACAGAGAAGGAGAGUUGACAAAAAUGUCACCUAAAGGACUCCGGGAUCCAUCAGGC